UCUUUAUUUGGGGGGAUACCGUGAUUUAUAACAUCAUGUGCUGAAGUUCGAAUCUUCAUAAAGAA
Molecule: transfer RNA, 65 nt
Filed under: Petrobiona massiliana
Lineage: Eukaryota; Metazoa; Porifera; Calcarea; Baerida; Petrobionidae
Description: tRNA-Tyr
Source: RNAcentral